AAAAAAAACAAACUCUGGUUUCCGUGUCCAAUAUUUAACCGUUCGUCUUAUUUGAAAAAAUUAUUAAAAAAAUUAAAAAGAUAAGUCACGCAUAAAAUAUUAGUCAUGUUUUAUCAUCUAACAACAAUGAAAAUACGAAUUAUAAACAAAUUUCAUAUAAGACUGACAGUUAAAAUUGGACACGAAAACCUAGGGUUUGUCUUUUU
RNAcentral lists this microRNA precursor (206 nucleotides) under Oryza rufipogon (brownbeard rice). Its description in RNAcentral is "MIR812 microRNA precursor family". It matches the Rfam family "MIR812 microRNA precursor family". Lineage: Eukaryota; Viridiplantae; Streptophyta; Magnoliopsida; Poales; Poaceae. The record is from Rfam by way of RNAcentral.